Molecule: ribosomal RNA, 372 nt
Filed under: Stenopus hispidus (banded coral shrimp)
Lineage: Eukaryota; Metazoa; Arthropoda; Malacostraca; Decapoda; Stenopodidae
Description: partial 16S ribosomal RNA
Rfam family: Bacterial large subunit ribosomal RNA (bases 248-372)
Source: RNAcentral
CUGUCUUAUUGAUAAAAAUUGAAUUUAACUUUUAAGUGAAAAGGCUUAAAUAUUAGAAAGGGACGAUAAGACCCUAUAAAACUUUAUAUAAAUUAGAUUUUUUAUUAUAAUUGUUUGUUUAGUAAGAAAUAAUUUAUUAGUAUUUUAUUGGGGCGAUAGGAAUAUAUAAGUAACUGUUCUUUUUAAUAACAAAUAUUGUUGAUUGGAAAGAUCCUUAAUAGAGAUUAUAAGACAAAGUUACUUUAGGGAUAACAGCGUAAUUUUUUUUAAGAGUUCAUAUCGACAAAAAAGAUUGCGACCUCGAUGUUGAAUUAAAAUUUCUUUAUGGUGCAGAAGCUGUAAAAGAAAGUCUGUUCGACUUUUAAAAUUUUA